RNAcentral lists this ribosomal RNA (253 nucleotides) under uncultured bacterium. RNAcentral's name for it is "partial 16S ribosomal RNA". It matches the Rfam family "Bacterial small subunit ribosomal RNA", at positions 524 to 776 of the family's 1533-position model. The record is from RNAcentral.
UACGUAGGGAGCAAGCGUUGUCCGGAAUCAUUGGGCGUAAAGAGCGUGUAGGCGGCCCGGUAAGUCGGGUGUGAAACUUCGGAGCUUAACUCCGAAACUGCAUUCGAUACUGCGGUGCUUGAGGACUGGAGAGGAGACUGGAAUUUACGGUGUAGCAGUGAAAUGCGUAGAGAUCGUAAGGAAGACCAGUGGCGAAGGCGGGUCUCUGGACAGUUCCUGACACUGAGGCACGAAGGCCAGGGGAGCAAACGGG